UACGAAGGGGGCGAGCGUUGUCCGGAUUUAUUGGGCGUAAAGAGCGUGUAGGCGGCCAGGUAGGUCUGCUGUGAAAACUCGAGGCUCAACCUCGAGCUGUCGGCGGAAACCAUCUGGCUAGAGUCCGGAAGAGGAGAGUGGAAUUCCUGGUGUAGCGGUGAAAUGCGCAGAUAUCAGGAAGAACACCUAUGGCGAAGGCAGCUCUCUGGGACGGUACUGACGCUGAGACGCGAAAGCGUGGGGAGCGAACAGG
Molecule: ribosomal RNA, 253 nt
Filed under: uncultured bacterium
Lineage: Bacteria
Description: partial 16S ribosomal RNA
Rfam family: Bacterial small subunit ribosomal RNA
Source: RNAcentral